RNAcentral lists this ribosomal RNA (253 nucleotides) under uncultured bacterium. RNAcentral's name for it is "partial 16S ribosomal RNA". It matches the Rfam family "Bacterial small subunit ribosomal RNA", at positions 524 to 776 of the family's 1533-position model. The record is from RNAcentral.
UACGUAGGGUGCGAGCGUUGUCCGGAAUUACUGGGCGUAAAGAGCUCGUAGGUGGUUUGUCGCGUUGUUCGUGAAAACUCACAGCUUAACUGUGGGCGUGCGGGCGAUACGGGCAGACUGGAGUACUGCAGGGGAGACUGGAAUUCCUGGUGUAGCGGUGGAAUGCGCAGAUAUCAGGAGGAACACCGGUGGCGAAGGCGGGUCUCUGGGCAGUAACUGACGCUGAGACGCGAAAGCGUGGGGAGCGAACAGG